Molecule: signal recognition particle RNA, 265 nt
Filed under: Bacillota bacterium
Lineage: Bacteria; Bacillati; Bacillota
Description: Firmicutes bacterium (anaerobic digester metagenome) signal recognition particle sRNA large type
Rfam family: Bacterial large signal recognition particle RNA
About the family: The signal recognition particle (SRP) is a universally conserved ribonucleoprotein involved in the co-translational targeting of proteins to membranes.
Source: RNAcentral
CCGUGCUAGACGGGGAGUUAGCGGUGCCCUGUACCCGCAAUCCGCUACAGCGGGGUCGAACUCCCGCCCGAGGGUACGCCUUGUGGGGUCUGGCUCAGGUAAGUGACGUUGACGAUUGGGUCUUGCGCGACGGGAAGCCAUGAACCCCGUCAGGUCCGGAAGGAAGCAGCGGUAAGUGGUAUAUCCCGGGUGCCGCAAGGGUGCCUGGUCUGAGUUAACUGCCUGAUGUAUCGCCUGUAAGUCGUGUUCGAAGGCGGGUGCACGG